Molecule: ribosomal RNA, 468 nt
Filed under: uncultured bacterium
Lineage: Bacteria
Description: partial 16S ribosomal RNA
Rfam family: Bacterial small subunit ribosomal RNA
Source: RNAcentral
GACGAACGCUGGCGGCGUGCUUAACACAUGCAAGUCGAACGGAAAGGCCCUGCUUGGGUUGGCGGCUCGAGUGGCGAAGGGGUGAGUAACACGGGAGUAACCUGCCCUGGACGGUGGGAUAACCUCAGGAAACUGGUGCUAAUACCGGCGAGCAGCGCCUGCUGGAUGGGGGGGGUUGGAAAGUUGCGGCGGGGGGGGAUGGAUGCGCGGCUUAUCAGCUUGUGGGUGGGGUAGUGGCUUACCAAGGCUUUGACGGGUAGCCGGCAUGAGAGGGUGACCGGCCACCUUGCGCCUGAGAGACGGCCCAGUGUGCUACGGGAGGCAGCAGUGGCGAAUCUUGCACAAUGGGCGGAAGCCUGAUGCAGCAACGCCGCGUGCGGGAUGACGGCCUUCGGGUUGUAAACCGCUUCCGCCUAUGACGAAGCGUGAGUGACGGUAAUGGGUAAAGAAGCACCGGCUAACUACGUG